This is a long non-coding RNA of Equus caballus (horse), 3533 nucleotides long. The record is from Ensembl. NCBI's taxonomy places the organism in Eukaryota, Metazoa, Chordata, Mammalia, Perissodactyla, Equidae.
CAUGUACCUUCUGACAAAAUUCAAGCAGCCAGUGGGGUACACCAUAAAAGUAAGUCUCCUACUGUGGUUCCCAUAUUCCGUUCCUAAAGCACCGGUUCCCAGUUUCAUUCUGGAUCUACUGUCAGAGCAAAGCAUUGUCGUUAACAGCCUGAGUCUGGGUUCCUGAAUCAGGCCGCUGACCUUGGCCCAGUACCUUACCCCUCUCGGCCUCGAUGUUCCCAUUUGUAAAAUGGAGAUGCUGGCACCUUGUGAUGUAACUGGCAGAGUUAAAUGGGUGGAAGCACCUAGGACAGUGCCUGGUGCACAGUAGCGCUAUAUGUUGUCCUUAUUUUGUGAUUUACGAUGAUAACGGUAGUGGUUGGUUCAGAGCUGCCACCUCCCCUCCAUGCCUCAUCCCUGCUGCCGUUUUCUGGGCCCCGGUGCCAGCUGGAGCCGUUUCUCCGCACUGCCACAGGCUGGGUGGAGAAUCCUGUUGUUGAUGGAUUCUCCGGAAGUUUGGGGGUGUUCAGUGGAGAUAACAUGUGACAGGCCAUCUUUGUAUUAUGUCUGUCAGUGUCCCUUUGUAGCAUCUUCAUCUCAGAUCAUAUCUGUGUGGUGGGUUUUCUUUGAACCUGUGAACCCAGAGCGUGCCAAGCGGAGCGUGCUAAACUUAACCAAUGCGCCACCGGGCCAGCCCCCGUCUCUGUUUUUCUUAUCUGAAUUUCUCAACCCCUGCUCACCCUCCAUGCCACUUUCUCAUCUGGGCAACCCUCAGAGGUGGAAACGACUUAAAAAGGGAAAAGGAGGGGCCUGGCAUUGACCAUGGGCUCCCUGACCCAGGGUCUGUUUUAUAUACAUCACUGCAGCCACCCUUUCUCCCCAUUUAACAGAUGCAGAAAAUGAGUGCAAGAGAAGAAGGGCCUUGCUGAAGGCCCCAUAGCCAGGAAGCAGCAGGGCCUGGAUUCAGACCCAGUCCUGUCUCACUCCAGGGCGAGCCCACGUUUUUUCCCUGGCACCGGGCAGCCUGCCUGGUGGUGAGUCAGUGGUGCGGUCAAGCACCCAGAGAGCCGCCUUUUCUCUUCUAUUAUUGGCAUAGCCUGCCGUUGUGUGGAUGUACCGUACUUCAUUUAACCAUUUCUUAUUGAUAAAUGUUUUGGCUGUUGCUGAACUUCUGCUCUUACAAACAUUUGCUGCCGUGAAAUCCUUGUACAUCUGAUUGCAUGUAUGUGGUAGUACUCUCAGUUGAGCCAGAGUUGCUGGGUCAAAGAAAAAGUGCAGUGGGAACUUGGAGAGCCAUUGCCGAAUGAUCUGUUCAUCUCGAUUCAUUUCUCUGUUCAUUUCAUUCAUUCUUUCAUCUGUUGAAUGAAUAAUGGGACUCUAGUCAACUGCCAGGCACAGCGGCAAGCUGGAGUGCCUGGAGUAAUUUUCUGGACAGAGCACCUGCCCUCUGGGAGCAGAUAUUCUAGUUGGGUAGAUGACGUCAGGUAAAAGAUGCUUGGAAGAAAAGGAAAUCAGGAUAAGGGGACUGAGAGUGACAGAGGUCACGGAGUGACAGGUGGUCAGAGAAGGCUGCUCUGAGGAGGUGACAUUUGAGAAGAGGCAUGAAAGAAGGUAAGGAAGUGAGUCAUUUGGAGAUGCUGAAGAACAGGAAGUGGAGAGACCCCGAGGUGGAGGUGAAGGUGGAGUGGGCCUGGCUCUUUAAGGACUGGCAAAGUGACCAGAGGGGCUGGAGAGAGCGAGGGGAAGGGAGGCAGGAUUAUUUAGGGAUGGAGCUAGAGAGGGCCUAGCUUACCUAGGGUCUUGUAGGCCAUGCCGAGGGCUUGGGAAUUUACUGGAGUGUAACAGGAAGCCACUGGAGGGAGGGCCCUGAGCAAGGACCAGUGGGUUGUGAUGUAUGUUUCAUAAAGAUUUCUCCCAUGAACACCAAAAGUUCCUAACAGCGUUGGCUGUGGAGGUGAGGGUCUCAGAUCAGAACUGUGAGGAAGACUUUUUAAAGCCUUUUAGGUUUUUGAACCAUGUGACUAUUAUAAUCUAUGCCCAAAAGAAGUUAAAUGAAAGCAGUGCGGGUCGCUGUGAGGAGGAUGGCCCGCGGGCCGGGCAGGAGUACAAGCAGGAGGUGAGGAAGCUGGUGUCCCUGCCUGGGCGGGAGAUGGUAGUGACUCAGGGAGAGGGUUGUGGGAGAGGAAGCAUGAGUCAGGGAUGAAAAGUGAUGCCUUUUACCAAGAUGGGGAGGAGGAGCCUUGCUAGGAAAGGCUUUGAACUUCUUAACUUGGAGAUGCACAUUGGACAUCAAGUAAGUGGUCCUAGUCGGGGGGAGAAGCCAGGGUUUGUAGACACAGAAUUUUUACUGACUUUUAAAGACAUACACAAAGGUUAACGUUAUGAUAUAAAGAGCCUCCACAUACCCAUUACCCAGUAUUGACAGUCAUCUAUAACACGUUUGUCUGCUGAUGGGAGCGAAAUCGGGAAAAUGGACCAGGAGAUGUGGAAGUCGGGCCCUCAAGGAGGCGAGGGGGGUGCAGACAGGGUAGAGUGGAGAGAGGCGGGUGGAAUUGAAUUGAAGCCGGGCCAGCUCGUCCUGGGAAAAGCAAGUUUGACUAUGUGACAUCUCCUCCAAAUUGUAAAAGACCGCUCUCCUGGUUUUUAUGCGUUGGCAGCUGUUCCGCAUAGCAUCAAAGCUCAAAGCAGGUCUUUGGACUGCCAGUUUCGUGUUGAUGUCGAUGAUAUGGCUUCCUUUAUGGACCUUAAUAAAGAGCUGAACAAACACAGGCGAUGUUUGUUCUCAGUGGUUGGGGCAAGAGGGAGAGGAGAGCGGUGGGUAGUUAAGACAACGAAUGUUUAGGAAGGAAGAGGAGCCCAUGGCGGGAACAGCUGUGACGCUGUGAUUUAUAAUAAAUAUAUAUUUGGUCUUUGUACCCCAUUUCUGGCACAGAACUCCUAAAACCCUUGGAAUUUCCUGUGAUGAGAGCAAUCAAGGCGUCUUUUGUUAUGUUAAUGAGGCGACUUGGAAAGCACCUCGGUCACCUAAGGUUGGGGGCUGGUUGCCAGGGGUCCCAACCAGGUACCUCAAGGGUUGGAAUUUUCAGUCCCACCUGCCCCUCCACCUCUGGGGAGGGGAGAGGGUCUGGAGGUUGAAUCGAUCGCCUAUAAUAGCCACUGGUUUAAUCAAUCGUGACCAUGUAAUGAAGCCUCCGUAAAAAGCCCAAAGGGAUGGAGGGCGUCCAGGUUGGUGAACUUGUGGAGAUGCAAGGAGAGUGGCGGCUCAGAGAGCAGGGAAGCUCCACGCCCUUUCCAUACCUUGCCCGAUGCAUCUCUUCCAUCUGGCUGUUCUCAGGUACAUCCUUUUAUAAUAAACUGGUACGUGAAAUGUUUCUCAGUUCUGUGAGCCAUUCUCGCAAAUUAAUGGAACCCAAGGAGGGGGUUGUUGGAACCUCCAGUCUAUAGCCAGCCGGUCAGAAGCACAGGUGGCAACCUGGACUUGCCACUGGCGUCUGAAGUGGGGGCAGUCUUGUGGAACUGAGCCCUUAACCUGUGGGGUCUGAUGCUAUCUCCAG